Molecule: long non-coding RNA, 663 nt
Filed under: Accipiter nisus (Eurasian sparrowhawk)
Lineage: Eukaryota; Metazoa; Chordata; Aves; Accipitriformes; Accipitridae
Description: lncRNA (ENSANIG00000002904.1)
Source: RNAcentral
ACCCCGCCGCGGGGGGGGCGCGAGGCGGGGCGGGGCGGCGGCGGGGCGAGCCCCCGCCCGGCCCCUCCCCUCUGCCUCGCGCGGCUGCCGUCGGCAGGGCGCGUGCGCUGCGCAGGCGCGCGGGCAGCCGGCACCUGCGCCCGGCGGGUCAGGUGGGCGGCGGCGGCGGCGGCGGCGCGGAGGGAGGUAAGGGCGGGCGGGCCCGGCGCCAUUUGCCCCCCGCUCCAGCCCCCAGCCGCUUCUUGGGGCUGGUGGGCCGCCUCUUUCCCCCGGCCCUCUUCCGAAGGGCCCCGCGGCGGGGUGCAGCCCCUCGGCUAUGGCCGUCCCGUCCCGUUCCCCCCCCCCCCCCUGCGCCUCUCGGACGCUCCGGCCUGGGGGUCCGGCUGCGGGUCGGGAGAAGGCCGGGCAGCCAGGCAAGGGCCCGCCGGAGGGUCUCGCCUCCUUUCGAGCUGGGAGCCGGGGCGCGGGGAGGGGGGGCCCAGCGUGCAGCUCCUACGCACGCACCCAUCCCUCUGUUUUUAUCUGCAAACAGGUUCUGGCGUGCUGCGUGAGGGGUUUUGGUCCUGCUGCAAGUCGAGUGACUGUUACGCUGGAGGAAGGUGUUCCUUGGACAGUCCUGGAGACAGAAGCACUGUGUUUCUAGAGCAGCAAACUGGUCUGUGA